This 440-nucleotide ribosomal RNA is filed under the name uncultured bacterium. Its description in RNAcentral is "partial 16S ribosomal RNA". It matches the Rfam family "Bacterial small subunit ribosomal RNA", at positions 338 to 795 of the family's 1533-position model. The record is from RNAcentral.
CCUACGGGUGGCAGCAGUGGGGGAUAUUGCACAAUGGGCGAAACCCUGAUGCAGCGACGCCGCGUGAGGGAAGAAGGAUUUCGGUAUGUAAAGCUCUAUCAGCAGGGAAGAAAAUGACAGUACCUGACCAAGAAGCCACGGCUAAUUACGUGACAGAAGCCGCGGUAAUACGUAGGGGGCAAGCGUUAUCCGGAUUUACUGGGUGUAAAGGGAGCGUAGACGGUUAGGUAAGUCUGGAGUGAAAGCCCGGGGCGCAACCCCGGAACUGCUUUGGAAACUGUGUAAUUGGAGUACAGGAGGGGCAGGCGGAAUUCGUGGUGUAGCGGUGAAAUGCGUAGAUAUCAGGAAGAACACCGACGGCGAAGGCGGCCUGCUGGACUGAAACUGACGUUGAGGCUCGAAAGCGUGGGGAGCAAACAGGAUUAGAUACCCUAGUAGUC